Molecule: small RNA, 116 nt
Filed under: Marmota monax (woodchuck)
Lineage: Eukaryota; Metazoa; Chordata; Mammalia; Rodentia; Sciuridae
Source: RNAcentral
GCUGGCACAGUGGUGUGCACCUGAAAUCCCAGCUACUCAGGAGGCUGAGGCAAGAGGAUCACAUAAGCCCAAGAGUUCAAGACCAACCUAGGCAACAAAGAGAGACUAUGUCUCAA